UACGGAGGAGGCAAGCGUUAUCCGGAAUUAUUGGGCGUAAAGCGUCCGUAGAUGGUUUUGUAAGUCUGCUGUCAAAGCACAGGGCUUAACCCUGUAAAGGCAGUGGAAACUACAAAACUGGAGUGCAGUAGGGGCAGAGGGAAUUCCCAGAGUAGCGGUGAAAUGCGUAGAGAUUGGGAAGAACACCCGUGGCGAAAGCGCUCUGCUGGACUGCAACUGACAUUGAGGGACGAAAGCUAGGGGAGCGAAUGGG
Molecule: ribosomal RNA, 253 nt
Filed under: uncultured prokaryote
Also listed under: 1 other name
Description: partial 16S ribosomal RNA
Rfam family: Bacterial small subunit ribosomal RNA
Source: RNAcentral